UGUCACUCCUCACUGUUCUCACCAGCCAGAUGCAAGGAUUAUUCAAUCAGGGACAUUCUUGGCUAAGCAAUCACAUGAUGGUGGCAAAUUAUGGAGUUGCAAAGUCCCCCUACAUGUUGAAACUUCAAGAGAACAAUGCAAAGGCUGGUUGAGAGAAGGAAUGGCGUGGAGGAUUCAAGUGCUUAGUAAUCCUCACCAACAUUCAACAAACUGAUGCAAGGGAAGUACCUAAAAGUACCUAUUGAGCUCAUGAACAAAGAAAAGCUUUGUCUCAACUCCUAAAUGGAGGCAAGAAGCCAGAAGAAAGGGGGAGACAAGCUCAGGUCAUAAGAAGAAGCUCAAAGGUGAUUUGACGGUGAAGCAACUGGCGCCAAUCCAAGUCGUUCAUUGCCUCACCUCUGAUCAAAAGUGGAGUUUGCAAGUUGUGGAUUCACUCUUGCAUUACUCAGUACCAACCGGAUCAAAGAAGCUCAGUUCCAAGUGUGUGAUUGAGCUUCCAUAAUCCGGACUGUGUCUUACCAAGUGGGGAUUCAAUUGGAGUCCACUCCUGACCAUUCUUAUAAAAGGGAAGCACCUUAAACUCAUCUAAAUACAUUCAUGAUUGUCCUUAUACUUAAACUAUUAUUGAGUUUGAUGUGAUGAGUGCAUUUCCUUAAGAACUGAUGCACUUUUGAAAUGAUGUAUCAGGUACCAAAAUAAGCUUGAGCCUCACUGAAGAUGAUGAUGAUGAUCCGGUCGUGUCCUAGCCUAUCUAAGAUGGCCAAAGAAGUCAGUUGAGAGGGGGAGACCCAAACCAGGUCUAUGGUCCAUGAAGAGGUCAAGCCAAGUUCUAAAGAACAAGUAACUUUGCUGGGGGUUCAGAGAAGAUGGUCUGGUCGUUUCCUUGCCUUCCUAAGGUGGCUUGAAGCCAGCUGAGAGGGGGAGACCCUAAACCGGCCACAAAAUGAUCCAGCCUGCUACUUGUGCUCAAGGAUAGCAAGUUAUGGUGAUUCAUACUUGCUACACCUAUUAGGCCACGAUCCAGAGCCUAAGGACUCCACCAUGAUGAAUCUGAAGUUCCUUAGGCUCACUGGCCAAUCCCUAAGCUUUGUGGAAACUCCACUCUUUUUCCCUUAGCAAGUUUUGUCCCAAUGGGUUUUCUUGCUAAGGUUUUUAAUGAGGGAGCUUCUUCAAGGUUCCAAGCUUGUCCAAGGAUCUCCUAUGGUCAAGCUUGAGGGGGAGUGUUGGAAUGAAGAAGUAAGAAGCUGGAGUUGAUGAAGAGACCAAGCAUCAAGAGCAAGCAAAUCCGGAACAAGCAGAUUUGAAUCUGUCCGUACAGUUUUGGCUUGCAAGUAACCAAACCUAACCUAGAGUGUCUUGGAAGUCAAGGCAAGUGGGAAACUCGUCCAGCUGAGCUUUCUGAAGCAUAUUUGAAGUUUAAAUUAAGUGUGAGACCGUUGGAGAGAGAUCUGGCAAGUUGGAGAAUUAAUUAAGAUAAAAGUCACAUGUGCAUAAGGAGAUGAGCCUGCUGUCACUUUCACCCAACCAGACUGUGCCCAUCUCUCUCCUGUCACUCUCUACUCCCUCUGGUCGAGAUUCUCCUUGGCUGCAUCCUCCUGGCUCCAUCAGAAACCCUACAAUAGUAUUAGUUUAGUAAAUCUGUACUUUAACAAUUGUUUAAUCACUUGCAACUUGUAAUUUGGCUAUAAAGCCACCCCAUUGUAACCAUUACGAAAUUAAGCUGAAUGGGGGAGUUUCCCCUUUCUUCUUCACCA
This is a long non-coding RNA of Brassica rapa (field mustard), 1754 nucleotides long. RefSeq lists it as uncharacterized. The record is from RefSeq and is a predicted model, not a curated record. Lineage: Eukaryota; Viridiplantae; Streptophyta; Magnoliopsida; Brassicales; Brassicaceae.